This is an RNA transcript of Cornus florida, 5186 nucleotides long. RefSeq lists it as uncharacterized. The record is from RefSeq and is a predicted model, not a curated record. The transcript has 7 exons. Lineage: Eukaryota; Viridiplantae; Streptophyta; Magnoliopsida; Cornales; Cornaceae.
AUAGUGAGUGGAGGAUUUCUAUUUCCUCCACUCACAUUUAAUCACAUUAUUUCAUUCUCUUCCUUACAAGAAAACCCUAGCCUCCAUGGAUGGAGCUUGGAGCCUUAGGCAUUGACCUUGAUCUUUGAGGCCUUCCACUUACUUUAGACCAUAAAGUUUAGAAUACUUUUUGUUCUCCUCAUCCUCCUCUUCAAAACCCUUGAAGGAUCUAGCCUAACUCCUAGUUUUGCUUUGGUAUCUAGAGAUUCAAUUCUCUAGUGAGGUAUUGAUCUAUUAUUUUGAAGUAUUUUUAUGUCAUUAUUGAGUGUUUUACAUGCAUGGAAGAGAAGGACUUGUAUUUUACCCUUAAAUUGUUUUAACUUGAAAUUAAUCUUGUCAAAUUAAAUAUAGAAUAUGAAAAUAUACUCAAUUACCUUUCAUUUAGUUUUGGUUUCAUAUAAUUUGGAUUUAAAAUGAAUUAGUUAUGAAUUUUUGAAGUUGCAAGCUAGUUGUUGGAAAUUUGAAGCUUUUUCUUUUCGGUCUGGAAAUGAAUUUUUAUAUGAAGCUGUGGUACUUCAAUUGCCUUGAAAUUUUUACUGGAACUUCCCCCAUGGGUUUUACACUACUCAGAAUUUUUUCACAAUUUUAAGGCAUUUCUAAAUUUUUUUAAAAAAUUUGAAACUAUCUGCUGUCCAUGUUUUUAUUGCAGCUGGAAAACAUAUUUUUAGAUGAUUUAUUUCACUAAUUUUUUGACAUUGGAUCAGGGCUUAAAUUUUUAAUUUUACACUCUCAUACGUUUACUUCCAAAAUAAAUUAGGUUUGCCCAAUUUGGAUGUCAAAUGAAUUUUUCAUGAAUUUUCAAAGUUGGAAGUUACAGGCUGAAAAUGUGUUUUCUGGGCAGAAUUUGUUUCAAAAUUAUGGGUCAAAACUGUUUCAAUUAGGAAAAUAUUUUGUUAAAAUAAAUUGAUAUUAUCAAAUUAAAGUGUUUAAGCUUUCAUUGGGCUUUGGAUUCAUUUAAUUUGGGUUAGAAUUAAAUUUUUUAUGAAUUUUACAAGUUGAAGGUAGCAAGCUGAAAAAUCUGUUUUGCGGACCGAAAAUUUAGGGCGAUUUCAUUUCGGCGGUAAUUGGGAUUUUCAUUCCAAUUGAGGUAGGGAAUGUUUUAGGAUUAUUUGUGUGUUGUAUUGUGUGUUUGCCAUGAUUAUACAACAUAUAGGUAUGCCUUGUAUCAAAUUUAGAAAGUUAGUAAUUUUUAUUUCUUUGUAUAAGAUUUAAAAUUUAGGAUGAUGUAUAACUUUGAUUUGAAUUGUAAUAUACUAGAAAAUUAUGCUUAGAUAUGUUGGUUAACAUAUAUUAAAUUUGGAUCAUUUGAUUAAGAAUUACAAUUUUUAUUUAAUAUUUAUCUUUUGUAAAAGUUUAAUUCACAUGGUUGUAUCAAGCAUUAAAUCAAGUUGUAAUCUGGUAUUUAAAUAGGCCUUGGCAUGUUCUCUAACAUAGAUUAAAUUGAGGGCAUUUGGAAUUGUUUAAAAAUCUAGAGGAAAUUAAUUAAUUAGCUUGAUUAAUUUUGUUUUAAGUGUUUUAAUCACUUAACUUGUCAUUUGAUAUUAUAUAUAUGAUGACCAUGAUAUGUCUUUCAAUAUAUAUUAAAUUGAGGUUAUUCGGAUUAACUUGGAAUUUAGAGAAUUUAACUAUUUAUGUUUAAUUAAAUUCUACUUUAUUACUCCAUAGAUUUAAUUGCAUUUUGGAAAUUGUUUCUAUAUUUAAAUCAUGGAUUUGGAUAUGAUGUAUGUUCACUUGAUUACUUUUGAGCAUUGGAUAAAAUAGUUGUUACUUUUAUAUUCAUGAGAAUAUAUUUUUCCUUAUUAAAUAUAUUGUUGCUAUGUGUAAGGAAUUGCACACUUUGUAUUUGAUAUCUUACAUGCCAUAGUAGUUGUGAAUUUUGAGCAUGCAUUGUAUAAGUUUCCAAAAUUUGGAUUGUGCUUGGUAAAUAGUUGAUAUCUUGUAUAUACAUGUUGAUAUAUAUACGUUGUUGCACAAUUUGUUGAUUUUGAAAACUUGGGGAUAUCGUUGUUUGGUUACGGCUAGGACUUGGUUCUAGUACGGGGGAUUGUCCCUCUAUAUAGUCUAGUGCGCACAUAGGGAGGUUACCCAUGGGUUAGUAACCCUAAAGUAACUAUGUUGUCGGUCUGAUCUGGCGUGACGUCCGAGUAUCUACUUUGUUUGAUUUUGUAUUUCAUUUCAAGUUGAUAACUAGAUGAUAUCGUAACUUGUUCCGUAUUUGAUUUCUUAUUUUGAGCUUAAGAUAUAGCUUUAUGAAAGCAUGCUUCAUGCGUUGUAUUGGAAGUUCCAUUGUUGGUUAAAUUGCAUCGAUAUCAUAAUUUGUGUUUUGAUGUUCAAAUGUAGUUUAUGAAUGACCUUAUAGAUUCAUUUUGAACAUAGACGUUAGGUGGCAUGACCCACACUUGUUGUUUUCGUAUUUUGAAUUUCAAGUUGAAGACUUUGAGAAUCUAUAUCUUGUUACCUUGUAUAACAUGUUUCCAUAUUGUUUGAAUUGCAUGAACAAUGUGAUUAUGAUAUAAAUGAUUUAGGUAGCUUAGGAUGCUCCCUGGGUCUCAUCUUGACAUAGACGUUAGGUGGCAUGAGCCCCUUUAACAUGUUUCACUAUAAGGUGAUAAAAUUGUAAAAUGCUAGGUCGAUGCAUGCUCAUCUCAUACGAGUAGCUUUAUAUUACUCACCCCUAUGAUACUGAGGCAUAUUUCAGGUACAGGACUCAGGAUUUGAAGAUUCCAUUGCUCCUUGGGUGGCUUACAGUUUCUAAGUUUCUAUUUUAUGCAAGUGGUAGCAUAAGAUGCCUCUUUGUAACCCUAUUUGUUUAAACUUGUAUUCGUUGAUUCGGAUAUGUAAAGUGUACAUAAGUGCACUCUUUUCAAUGUAUUUAACAUGUAUGAGAUGAGGCCGGAGGCCAAUGACAUGUAUCUCGUUUUCUAUGCACUUUUGUUUUCAAAGUUUAUUAUGAAAAUAUUAGAAAAUGUUAAGUCAUUACUUCAUAAGUUUCGCAUCGGGUGUUAGAAUUUCAUAUCUUUUCUGCCCGGACUCAGAAUUAGACGAUUCUUAAGUCUAAUUUUAUUCAUUUUUCGUUGUCCUUCCAAUGGUGUGCACGGUGGCACCCUUUUCAGUGAGAAAUGACCAUUUUGCCCUUAGUUCAUCUCUUUUCGGGUUAGGCAUUCUUGCUUCAUUUGCUUGGCUCAUUUGAAUUCCGUGGCUUCAUGGAGAGUCAUUUUGGGGCCUUAGGGAUAACGUACUUCUCUUGAGGUCAUUUGGCUUCUUUCGCUUCCGCAUUUCGGGUCCGUUAUUGGGUCAACUUCCGGUUCAUCACUAACGCACCAGGUUGAGAAAUUCGGGUCGUUACAGUGAUUUAUUCAGUUAUAUUACCAGUCUUUAUUUAUUGACUUCCUUCAGGUUUAUUAGCCUCUAAUUAUUGAAUUUUUUAUUCAAUGGAAUUAUGUAAAUAUGAAAUGAUGACUCAGAAUAUAUUCUGCAUAUGCUUGUUUAUUUUGUUUUAAUUUCACUUGAUUCUUCAUAUCAGCUUGUAAACUAAAUUAUGGACACUUCCGAGGAACCAAUGUGUUGAGUUUUAAGGUCCCGUAGGGCUGAAACUGAGCGACCGUCUACAAGUUCACCUCCUAUACAACUGAGUGGAUCAGGUGAUGAUAGGAAUUCAACAAAUGAAAGAAUGGAAAGUGAUGGUAGUAAUGAGCAGAUGGGGCCACAGCCAAGUGGAGGUUUAAUAUGAAAAGGGCGUGGAAGAGCAAAAAAUGAAGCCUUGCACAAAAUUAAAGAAAACAACUGUCCAGUUCCAGUAGAGUUUGGAAAGGGUUAUAUUAAACCUGUUGGUUUAAAUAACAAAUUAUGGACAGCUAAGGUUGGCAUUAAUACACGAGAUACCGAAGCCCUUUUAAAGUAUAAAACGUGGAGGGAUGUUCCAGAUUUUGAAAAAAAGGUCUGCUAUGACCAUUUGAAGGAGUUCUUCGGAGUUGAUGCAUAUGCGAAUGACACCGAUUUUAAGCGAGUAAAUAAGGGAAUUUCCAAUGCGUUGAGGAAAUAUAGAUAUAAAUUAAAGUGUCAUUUUGAAGAGCAUUUUCCGAUUGAGAAUGCACGCUGCCAUCCUUACAAUAGUAUUGGUCAUGCUGUUUGGCAAAAAUUGUGUGAUAUGUAGAUGUCACCAAAAUUUCAGGAAAUAAGUGGAAAAAACAAAGAAAAUCGUUCCAAGAAUGAGGUUCCACAUUAUUCUGGAUCAAUGUCCUUCGUCAUACGUUAUGAUGCUAAUGUCAAACUCAAAGAAAGGCAGAGCCAAAAAGAUGAGGAUGGUGAAAGGGAUGAGGAUCCUGUUAUUCGUUUGUACAAGGACACACAUUUUAAGCAACAAGGUGGAUGGGCACGCGAGAAAGCCGAGGGGAAUUUUAAAGGGUGAGUUUGUAAACCCACCUAUCUGUAAAGGAAGACCUAUUUGUAGAAGAAGCUGCGCUGCCCUUUUUGUUAUGAUGCAAUGAAAGAAAAGGCUGCACAAAAUUCUCAAAAUUUUGAUGGUACGAGUCCAACCAUAAAUGAUGUUGAGAUAGUGUAAAACCAACUAGGCAUAAGGAAGGGAUAUUGCCGUGGAUUCGGACAUGAUUUCGUGGCUCCAAUGCGUCAAUGUGCCUCCUCAUCAUGUGAUGAGGCUUCUAGGAAAAGGGACGAAAUUGCUGAAGAAAGAAAUGUACAAAUGACAGAAAAGAUAGAUAAACUUGAGAAGAUGCUCGAGCAGUACCAACAACAGCCGCCACUAUGAUUCCUCCAAUAUCAGCAGCAGCGGCCACCAUGGUUCCUUCAAUUUCAGUAGCAGCAGCAGUUGCCACCGUAGUUCCACCAACAAUAGUCUCCAUCAGAUUCCCAACAACAGUAAACCGCACCAAACUGGCAUCAACAGCCACCGCCACCUCUAGCAGACUCUCAGUUUCAGCAGCCGCCACCAACAACAAGGUGGCAAUAUCAGCAGCCGCCACUAACAUGGUGGCACCAACAAGCACCACCAUAACCACCAACAUAAUGAAUAAUGGAUCUUGAAGUGGAUGGAACAUUUUUUUGUGCUACCACAUGGUUUUAGUUUUUGUUUAGAAAAUUGGAGAUUUUAUGGAUCUUGAAUAUAUAUAUCAUGGAUUUAUUUUGUUUUA